AGAGUUUGAUCAUGGCUCAGAACGUACGCUGGCGGCACGCCUAACACAUGCAAGUCGAACGAAGUAGCAAUACUUAGUGGCAGACGGGUGAGUAACAUGUAGGUAUCUGCCCUUUGGCCUGGAAUAACACGAGGAAACUUGUGCUAAUACCGGAUAAGUCUUUACGGAGAAAGCUUUAUGCACCAUUGGAUGAGCCUGCACUUGAUUAGUUUGUUGGUGGGGUAAUGGCCUACCAAGACUUUGAUCAAUAGCUGAUUUGAGAGGAUGAUCAGCCACAUUGGGACUGAGACACGGCCCAAACUCCUACGGGAGGCAGCAGUGGGGAAUCUUGCACAAUGGAGGAAACUCUGAUGCAGCGAUGCCGCGUGAGUGAAGAAGGCCCUUGGGUUGUAAAGCUCUUUCGUCGGGGAAGAAAAUGACUGUACCCGAAUAAGAAGGUCCGGCUAACUUCGUGCCAGCAGCCGCGGUAAUACGAAGGGACCUAGCGUAGUUCGGAAUUACUGGGCUUAAAGAGUUCGUAGGUGGUUGAAAAAGUUGGUGGUGAAAUCCCAGAGCUUAACUCUGGAACUGCCAUCAAAACUUUUCAGCUAGAGUUUGAUAGAGGAAAGCAGAAUUUCUAGUGUAGAGGUGAAAUUCGUAGAUAUUAGAAAGAAUACCAAUUGCGAAGGCAGCUUUCUGGAUCAUUACUGACACUGAGGAACGAAAGCAUGGGUAGCGAAGAGGAUUAGAUACCCUCGUAGUCCAUGCCGUAAACGAUGUGUGUUAGACGUUGGAAAUUUAUUUUCAGUGUCGCAGCGAAAGCGAUAAACACACCGCCUGGGGAGUACGACCGCAAGGUUAAAACUCAAAUGAAUUGACGGGGACCCGCACAAGUAGUGGAGCAUGUGGUUUAAUUCGAAGAUACGCGCAGAACCUUACCAACACUUGACAUGUUCGUCGCGACUCUGAGAGAUCAGAGUUUUCGGUUCGGCCGGACGAAACACAGGUGCUGCAUGGCUGUCGUCAGCUCGUGUCGUGAGAUGUUGGGUUAAGUCCCGCAACGAGCGCAACCCUCACUUUUAGUUGCCAUCAUUAAGUUGGGCACUCUGAAAGAACUGCCAGUGAUAAGCUGGAGGAAGGUGGGGAUGACGUCAAGUCCUCAUGGCCCUUACGUGUUGGGCUACACACGUGCUACAAUGAUAUCUACAACAGGAAGCAAAACGGCGACGUUAAGCAAAUCCUUAAAAGAUAUCUCAGUUCGGAUUGCACUCUGCAACUCGAGUGCAUGAAGCUGGAAUUACUAGUAAUCGUGGAUCAGCGUGCCACGGUGAAUGCGUUCCCGGGUCUUGUACACACCGCCCGUCACACCAUGGGAGUUGGUUCUACCUUAAGGCAAGGUUUUAAACCCUUGACCACGGUAUAGUCAGCGACUGGGGUGAAGUCGUAACAAGGUA
RNAcentral lists this ribosomal RNA (1433 nucleotides) under uncultured bacterium. Its description in RNAcentral is "bacterial SSU rRNA". It matches the Rfam family "Bacterial small subunit ribosomal RNA". The record is from RNAcentral.